Long non-coding RNA from Pygocentrus nattereri (red-bellied piranha), 349 nucleotides. RefSeq lists it as uncharacterized. The transcript is spliced from 3 exons. The record is from RefSeq and is a predicted model, not a curated record. NCBI's taxonomy places the organism in Eukaryota, Metazoa, Chordata, Actinopteri, Characiformes, Serrasalmidae.
CUCAAGCAUUCAGCCAAUCUGGUCUACCCGCCCCCCUGUGGACCAAAUGAACACCAACUGGGAGCUGUGGGAGCUGGCCUGGCCCACUCCUCUCCCCCAUGACCAACGACCUGUCUGACCUGUCAGCUUCUCUCACUUUGAGGGAGAGGUGGAUGGUCACACUGUGAUUUCAUGCUGAAGAAAUUGGCUCAUUCGUAACUUAAGCUUCCUCCAGCGAGGGCAAUAAUCAGCUACUAGUUUCUGAUGCAAAAUACCAACACAGGUGCAGCUGCAAGACCAGGCCUAUAGGGGUCAGUGUUUGCUCUCAACAGUUUACUUACAGCACAUACUUUACAACCCUCAGGAGGAC